GAUUUCAGUAACCCUGCUCAAGAGAUUUUACCGACAAUAAUGGGUGAAGAGAAGUUGGUUGAAAUUUCGAUAAAUCACGAGGGGGAGGAUUUUUUAGCAUUUGUCAGAUUGGAAACUGCAAAUGUAUUGUUGAAUGAUCCAGAGGCAGCUUCAAACUAUGUUAGAAAACAUCUUAUUAGCGAACAACAAAAUGCACAACACUCAGAUAGUAAUACUGGUGUCAUCAGUGUGUGGUCAACAAAAAGGCCAAGUGUAAAAGACAGUAAGGCUACAGAAAUAUUCCUGGAAUUACGCCAAAAAUAUGCCCACGAAUUUGAUGACAAAAAGCAUGU
Molecule: long non-coding RNA, 332 nt
Organism: Zophobas morio
Lineage: Eukaryota; Metazoa; Arthropoda; Insecta; Coleoptera; Tenebrionidae
Exons: 3
Source: RefSeq, a predicted model, not a curated record